UUCCGUCCGCAAAUUCUGUUCAAAUAUACCUCUGGCUUUUGUGCUGUCACAUUUUAUUAUAUUUUUGCAAAAAUUUAUUUUGCCACACAAAAAGCAAGAUAAUUAAGUAAAAUAAAUCUUUUAAGGAAAAUAUUUGACUUAGUUUGUCGUCUAAACUUAAAAAGUCAAGCAAUGUUUAACCAAACAAGUUUUAAUUACAAAAGCGAGUGAAAACUAAACCAAUUUCUUAGUCCCCAGACAAGCCCAGUCAAUAAAUAUUGAACCCGAGGCGGAAGCAAGUUCGUUGGAACCUUCCCUCCAGAUGAGAUCUUAUCCUGGCCGAAGUCCUCCUCCUUAGAAGCGUCCCUUUCACUGCCAGUUUGUUGGCAAUCGUCGUCCGGAAAUGCAAUCUGGACCCGUGUCAGAUCCACUGGCCCGCCGUUUUAGGCCAGCCCCUCUGCUGUUGCCUGCAAAUCUGCGAAAUGUUGCCAUGUUAUCCUUGACUCGCCUUUUAGCUGCCAAAAAUCCUUUUCGUGCCAAAAAGGAAGGAGGAGCAGCUGGCAAGCAAAAACAAAAGUCGGGAAAUUCGUUUAUCGCGCCGCAAAAUUGUUUUCGUUUUUGUAUACACAGCACAUAAUAUAUAUUUUAGUUAGUUUGCACUCUCUAUUUCCCAGCCUCUUUUGUCUGCCCUUAAAGUACUAUAAGCAAACAGAAAACGCAGCAGCUUGGGAAACCGAACUUAGAAUUGCUCUGACAGCUUUUGAAUAAAUUCUGUGAUGAUUCACUUAAUUUAAGUAUUCCAUAAA
Molecule: long non-coding RNA, 785 nt
Organism: Drosophila ficusphila
Lineage: Eukaryota; Metazoa; Arthropoda; Insecta; Diptera; Drosophilidae
Exons: 2
Source: RefSeq, a predicted model, not a curated record